GUACCGGGGCGAGCGUUAUCCGGAUUUACUGGGCGUAAAGAGCGCGUAGGCGGUUCCGUAAGUUGGUUGUGAAAGUUCGAGGCUCAACCUCGAAACUGCGUCCAAUACUGCGGGGCUGGAGUGCAAGAGAGGCAAGUGGAAUUUGCAGUGUAGUAGUGAAAUGCGUAGAUAUUGCAAGGAACACCAGUGGCGAAGGCGGCUUGCUAGCUUGUAACUGACGCUGAGGCGCGAAAGCUAGGGGAGCGAACGGGAUUAGAUACCCCGGUAGUCCUAGCCCUAAACAAUGUUCACUAGGUGUUGGUGGUAUUGACGCCAUCAGUGCCGCAGCUAACGCAUUAAGUGAACCGCCUGGGGAGUACGGCCGCAAGGUUG
This 372-nucleotide ribosomal RNA is filed under the name uncultured bacterium. RNAcentral's name for it is "bacterial SSU rRNA". It matches the Rfam family "Bacterial small subunit ribosomal RNA", at positions 526 to 896 of the family's 1533-position model. The record is from RNAcentral.